Molecule: ribosomal RNA, 247 nt
Filed under: uncultured bacterium
Lineage: Bacteria
Description: partial 16S ribosomal RNA
Rfam family: Bacterial small subunit ribosomal RNA
Source: RNAcentral
AUACGUAGGUGGCGAAGCGUUGUCCGGAAUUAUUGGGCGUAAAGGGCGCGUAGGCGGGAUAGUCAGUCUGUUGUAAAAGUUCGGGGCUCAACCCCGUGAAGCAAUGGAAACUGCUAUUCUUGAGUGCAGGAGAGGAAAGUGGAAUUCCCAGUGUAGCGGUGAAAUGCGUAGAUAUUGGGAGGAACACCAGUGGCGAAGGCGACUUUCUGGACUGUGUCUGACGCUGAGGCGCGAAAGCCAGGGGAGC